UGAAUCAGUAGCUUGCUACUGCAUUGGGGGAGAUGGGAAAGUCCCGGCUGAAAAGUCGGUGUACCGGUACCUGCAACCCUAUCAUAUCCUUGUCUUUUGAGUACUUAUGUUUCCUUGGUAGGCUUGCCUGCCAAUAGGACAAAUUUUAAACCUUUUUAAAUAUCAAUCAGCGUCUGAAAAAAUUUAAUAAUUA
This 193-nucleotide unclassified non-coding RNA is filed under the name uncultured Leptospora. Its description in RNAcentral is "sequence contains ITS1". Lineage: Eukaryota; Fungi; Ascomycota; Lecanoromycetes; Micropeltidales; Micropeltidaceae. The record is from RNAcentral.